Molecule: ribosomal RNA, 274 nt
Filed under: uncultured bacterium
Lineage: Bacteria
Description: partial 16S ribosomal RNA
Rfam family: Bacterial small subunit ribosomal RNA
Source: RNAcentral
AAACUCAAAGGAAUUGACGGGGGCCCGCACAAGCGGCGGAGCAUGUGGAUUAAUUCGAUGCAACGCGAAGAACCUUACCUGGGCUUGACAUACACCGUACCGGGCUAGAGAUAGUCCUUCCCUUGUGGCUGGUGUACAGGUGGUGCAUGGUUGUCGUCAGCUCGUGUCGUGAGAUGUUGGGUUAAGUCCCGUAACGAGCGCAACCCUUGUCUUAUGUUGCCAGCACAUUAUGGUGGGGACUCAUGAGAGACUGCCGGGGUCAACUCGGAGGAAG